UAUCACUGGCUACAAUAACCAGUGAUAGAUUUUCAUACUGCCGUCACAUUUCUCUGGAAUUUUUCCAGAGACGUAUAUUAUACAGCGCACCUACUGCGCCACUGUGGGUUUAUAGAAAGGAACGCUAAUAAUAAUAUGAUACAACAAAUAAGGGAGCCGGAAAAGAUGCAGCCUCUGGUCGGGUGAAUUCUACAAAUCCACCAUAAGGUGGCGCUCGAGAAUCUGUUUUUUGCGUUAGUGAAACUGGAUCUCAAUAAAAUUGUUGUUCCGCGAAGCAGUCGCGCGGGGCAUGCCGGGAUGUGUAGUUCUAUGGAUUUCAGCGUUUUUGUCCCUGGGUAGUCCUGGCAUAGUGGAACUGGAUAUUUCUCCUUAGCAGUCAGCUGUCGGCCAGCGCCCAAAAGAAGGCUGUGCCUGAAAACCAGACUCCGUAACACAUCACAUGUGAAGACAUGGCACCAACUAUGGAUAGCCGAGAAAUCUUGAAAAGAAAUAAGAUCAAAGGACAAAUGAAGACCUAUAUAUAGCUUCAUCAUCCCCUGUGAUGAUUGAGACAACGGAGUUGAUGAUUCAAUCAGAAAAGAGGGGAAUGGCGCAACAACUCCUGUCAAAUCGCCAAUAUAGAAAACCUACUUGGAACAUUUCUCAAACGAGGAAAAUUCUAAUGAUGACAACCUGCCGUUUGGACAACAAAAGCUUCCUACAAUCCAUAGACCAGAAAGCAAUACAAAAGGGAAGGAAAGUCUCCUCUCCAUCGUGCUUAAGAGGGCUAAUGCAGGGAGUCUGUAUCCACCAGAUUACCUGUAUUUUAAUAACUAUAAAUUCCAUGAAUACACCAAAGGUAUCCCAAGAAUUGCUUAAAAAGGGAUGUUUUGCAGCACUAACGUGUCAAGUGUGCAGACAUCAAAAAGCAAUGAAUUUCUUAGCAGUUUUCUGUCUGUGAAGUCUGUGCCCGGAUUCCAAACCACUAAUGAAAUUGACAAACCCUUCAGAUGCAACAUAUGCUAUAAAGCCAUAGGUAUUCUUAACGUCCAUUUGAAAACGCAUACUUAUGUCCGGCCAUAUCAGUGUAAUGAAUGUGACAACUGGAAUUUAAAAAGCUUCAGUUAUAACACAAGUCUCAUUCAGCACAAACAAAUCCACAAAGUAGACCCUGUAGAGAGUGGAAAGACACAUUCUGAGAAGAAAUGAGCCUUGCUUUUGGGGUGUUACUGUGAUGCUGCUUCCCACUUACAUAACACUUGCUAAAAUAUGAUUGUUUAUGUAAGAUAUUUGCACGGUUUCAGUAAAAUGUCACCUUGCUGAA
Molecule: long non-coding RNA, 1303 nt
Organism: Xenopus laevis (African clawed frog)
Lineage: Eukaryota; Metazoa; Chordata; Amphibia; Anura; Pipidae
Exons: 4
Source: RefSeq, a predicted model, not a curated record